RNAcentral lists this ribosomal RNA (539 nucleotides) under Escherichia coli. Its description in RNAcentral is "bacterial SSU rRNA". It matches the Rfam family "Bacterial small subunit ribosomal RNA", at positions 993 to 1532 of the family's 1533-position model. The record is from RNAcentral. Lineage: Bacteria; Pseudomonadati; Pseudomonadota; Gammaproteobacteria; Enterobacterales; Enterobacteriaceae.
GAACUUUCCAGAGAUGGAUUGGUGCCUUCGGGAACUGUGAGACAGGUGCUGCAUGGCUGUCGUCAGCUCGUGUUGUGAAAUGUUGGGUUAAGUCCCGCAACGAGCGCAACCCUUAUCCUUUGUUGCCAGCGGUCCGGCCGGGAACUCAAAGGAGACUGCCAGUGAUAAACUGGAGGAAGGUGGGGAUGACGUCAAGUCAUCAUGGCCCUUACGACCAGGGCUACACACGUGCUACAAUGGCGCAUACAAAGAGAAGCGACCUCGCGAGAGCAAGCGGACCUCAUAAAGUGCGUCGUAGUCCGGAUUGGAGUCUGCAACUCGACUCCAUGAAGUCGGAAUCGCUAGUAAUCGUGGAUCAGAAUGCCACGGUGAAUACGUUCCCGGGCCUUGUACACACCGCCCGUCACACCAUGGGAGUGGGUUGCAAAAGAAGUAGGUAGCUUAACCUUCGGGAGGGCGCUUACCACUUUGUGAUUCAUGACUGGGGUGAAGUCGUAACAAGGUAACCGUAGGGGAACCUGCGGUUGGAUCACCUCCUU